CGGCGUGCCUAAUACAUGCAAGUCGAACGGUCUUUCUAUGGAAGCUUGCUUCCACUGAGAAGAUAGUGGCGAACGGGUGAGUAACACGUGGGUAACCUGCCCAUAAGAGGGGGAUAACAUCCGGAAACGGGUGCUAAUACCGCUAUAGUUUUCUUGAUCGCAUGAUCGGGAAAGGAAAGACGGCCUUUGUGCUGUCGCUUAUGGAUGGACCCGCGGCGUAUUAGUUAGUUGGUGAGGUAACGGCUCACCAAGACGAUGAUACGUAGCCGACCUGAGAGGGUGAUCGGCCACAUUGGGACUGAGACACGGCCCAAACUCCUACGGGAGGCAGCAGUAGGGAAUCUUCCGCAAUGGACGAAAGUCUGACGGAGCAACGCCGCGUGAGUGAAGAAGGUUUUCGGGAAUCGUAAAACUCUGUUGUCAGAGAAGAACAAGUUGGAGAGUAACUGCUCCAGCCUUGACGGUAUCUGACCAGAAAGCCACGGCUAACUACGUGCCAGCAGCAGC
This 507-nucleotide ribosomal RNA is filed under the name uncultured bacterium. RNAcentral's name for it is "bacterial SSU rRNA". It matches the Rfam family "Bacterial small subunit ribosomal RNA", at positions 40 to 518 of the family's 1533-position model. The record is from RNAcentral.